This 76-nucleotide transfer RNA is filed under the name Clostridiales bacterium. RNAcentral's name for it is "tRNA-Ala". It matches the Rfam family "tRNA". From Rfam's summary of the family: Transfer RNA (tRNA) molecules are approximately 80 nucleotides in length. Their secondary structure includes four short double-helical elements and three loops (D, anti-codon, and T loops). The record is from RNAcentral. Lineage: Bacteria; Bacillati; Bacillota; Clostridia; Eubacteriales.
GGGGGCUUAGCUCAGCCGGUAGAGCACCUGCCCUGCAAGCAGGGGGUCAGCGGUUCGAUCCCGCUAGCCUCCACCA